Molecule: ribosomal RNA, 432 nt
Filed under: Cirrospilus sp. 3 RDB-1999
Lineage: Eukaryota; Metazoa; Arthropoda; Insecta; Hymenoptera; Eulophidae
Description: eukaryotic LSU rRNA
Source: RNAcentral
CCUGAGAAACCCAAAAGAUCGAAUGGGGAGAUUCAUCGUACGGCCCGAGCUGGCUUCCGUGCGGCACGCGAUGACGGGGACCUCGGUCUCGCGUCACGCUGCCGCCGCGGCAUGUCCGGCGGGGUCGGCGUGCACUUCUCCCCUAGUAGGACGUCGCGACCCGUUGGGUGUCGGAUCAAUGGCCGUUCGGUCGCCUGUCUGGCUCGCGAGAGCCAAGCAGACCGUCCGGUCGAACGUCCGACUGCCCGGCGGUAUCGAACGUUGAAAACUGGUACUGGGCCGCAUUCAGUGCGUUCCUGGCUCGUCGGCAGGCUCGUCUCGCUCGGAUUUACGGACCUAGCGCCGUUGCCGGGCGCUUGCCGCGGCCGUUAGUCGACGAUGUCCUCGGACUGGCUCUUACCGGUCGGCGACGCUACUGCUUUGGGUACUUUC